This is a non-coding RNA of Podarcis lilfordi (Lilford's wall lizard), 4216 nucleotides long. Lineage: Eukaryota; Metazoa; Chordata; Lepidosauria; Squamata; Lacertidae. The record is from the annotation of a GenBank genome assembly.
CUCUGGGGUUGCGGUGCUCAUCUCGCUUUACUGGCCGAGGGAGCCAGCAUACAGCUUCCGGAUAGGUCCAUUCAAAUGCAGCUUGCCUGUGAUAGGUCCACUUGAAUACAAGACUCCCAGCAACACACAUAGUCAGAGAAAGAUGGGGUGCCAUCUGCCAACAGUCAGAAGUUUGCCCUGGGUGUGGACCGUGGCUAUGCCAGGGCACAACCGCCACUUGCCAUCAUAGGAAGGUAAGCAGUCCUUUCAGGGCUUGAUAUUCUUGAAUCAGGGCCUAAAUAGCCUGGUUGAUAUCAGUGGGGACCCACUGCCUGCCACACCAGCAUCGUCCACCUCUAUUUGUAUGUAUGUAUGUAUGUAUGUAUUAAAUUUCUAUACCGCUUUAUAUUUUUAAUAAAAAUCUCAAAACAGUUUACAGCAUAUUAAAACAAUAAAAUAAUAGCCGGGCAAUGUUCCUCUGGACUCACGAGGAGCAACAUGGAGUGAAGGAAUGUCCUAAAGAAAUACAAAGUAUUGCUUCUGGAUGCCUCUAAGUAAGGAUCUUCAGAAAUCCAGUCUUAGUCAUUCAUUUGCUUUCUGAAAGCUUCUUUCCUUGAAAAGUAGGGCAUAAAUUCACAUUGUAACCGGGGAACAGAAAGAGUAGUUCCAAGACCGUGGUGUAUCACUUAAUCAAGAGUAGAUAAGUAACUUGAAUUGUGCCUGUAGAAUAAUGAGACUAUAGUGAGAGGGAGGAAAGUAAGGGGGGGAAACCUGUGAUAACGAUACUGAUUGCUUCACAAUCAAGAGUCUUAAGGGGCAGACAUUGUGGGAAACUCCUCUGUUACUGGGUCCUAUUAAUGGCAGUGCAUGACUGCUAUUCUCUUUUGCACCUGAUCAUCAUAUGGCCAGAUGAAUGAAUAAGUGGACCCCUCCAACCUUAACAUAAAUAUUCUGUUUCACAACUGAGAGCCCAAGCCCAAUGCAUUUUGUGGACGGAGUGGAUUGUACAAAAAGUUUUUUGGCAUUAAAUCUCUCAUUUUCCCAACUCUGCAGCACAUCUUAUGGUCUUCCACCCCCAUUUCGUGCAACGUGACAUCCCUUAUGUUACUGACUCUUGCUUUCAGCAACCAAAAUGGGGGCAGGAUUAUCACUCGAGAUGGCUCCUACCUUGCAGAAUAUUGGCUGUGGAAAUGAAAAAAAGGCAAUAAAGAAAUUCCAUUGCCACAACUCCUUGUUUUUUCCCCAAUAAAAGAAGAAAGUCUUUAUUAAAAAAAUUCUCUGCAAAUAAUUAUAUAUUUUAAAGUACACAAAACUGAAUCCUUCUUGAGAGCUAACCUUCUCUAGUUUCCACAGUGGGUGACUGCCAUUACAAACCAAUUACCCCAGAAUAAACCUGAAGUAUAUCACAACACUCCCCCUGCCCUGCCUAUUCCGCCAGGCAAUCCAUUAGCAAAAAGCUUCUGCUUAUGUGCAUAUAUUAACUUAACCUAUUUUACCUCACAGGCCUCUUACAAAGACAGAAGGAGGGAGGAGAACAACUGACACAACCCUUAACUCCUGGUAGAAAAAGACAAGAUACAAAAUAUCUCUCCCCCCAAAAAAACAAAAGUUUGCCAACCCUGAUCAAUAACAAGCAAAAAAAUAAUUUAAGUAUGUUCAGUUUCACAGAUUUGGUGUCUGAACUACCAACUCAGUCUGCCUCACAGGGCUGUUGUGAAGAUUAAAAGGGAAGAGGGGAAUAAAAUUUACAUAGCCUUGAGCUUCGGGGAGGAAAAGCAAUAGAAAGAUACAACCAGCAAGAGAUACUAUUAAGUAUGUAUAGCUUCACAGCUGUCAGCAAAACACACACACAUUUUACCAACCUUUAUUAAUAAAACCACCCGUGUGCUGAAAUUCAUUCUACAGGAUUAGCUCAGUUGGUUAGAACACGGUGCUGAAAACACCCAGGUUGCAAGUUCGAUCCCCAUAAGGGACAGCUGCAUUUUACGGGGUUGGACUAGAUGAUCCUCAGGGUCUCUUCCAACUCUGAUCUAUGAGUCUAUGAAUACUGACUUGCUCCAGCUGUAGGGCAUUUGAUGGUUUUUUCAUUGUAUUUGCUGGUUCAUUUUGUAUUUUACAUUUGUGGUUCCUGGUUCCUAUAUAAAUAACAGUGAUGACAAACAGCCCGUUAGCAGUUGUGGGGGGACAUGGAAAAUUGGAGAGGGUGUUGAAUAUGGCAAUAUCACAAUUUUUUUUGAGUAGGAAGGAAACUUCAUUUAUUUCAAGGGAAAUACUUCAGAGUAAAAUAUGCCAAAGCCAGCUGGUUGUGUUUGAUAAUGUUAAGGCAGCACACUUGGGGAGUAAGUGAAAUAAUGUGGAUGUGGAGGAAGGUACCUCAGUACACAGGAAGACUAUCCUCUGUUCAGAUUGGCAGCAACAGAAACAAGCUUCUUCUCCUGUUUCUUCUGCUGUCCUGGGAGGGUCUCUCUCAAGCCCAAGCGGGGAUGGUCAGCAUUCCUUUCUGCAAUUGCAUAGCAACAAUGAUUAAACAUACCUAGCUUUUCUGUAUUUGUCUGCCAAAGCCUGACAACGUUAUCUGCACAUUUUCCUUUCUAACUUUCUUUAUAGGUGUCAGAUUGACUUACUGUUCUAAAAAAAUGAAAGCUGAGAGUUUGGGGCCCAUGCUGGUUCAGCGCCCAAGAAAAGUAUUCUCCACCAGCAGCCCUGAUCGAAACUGGCCACUCACCUUCUGCUGCAUGAACAAUUUCACCCGGAACAUUUUGACAGGACAAGAAAUGGCAAGUUCUGACGCCAGCUGAGCUAAUUUUGUUAGCAAUUCUUGAGUGAGACAUAAGGUCAAAAGUGCCAAAGGACUAAAGCGCAGAACGCAAUCAAAAUGUAACAUAUUUUCAUAGAGAUACAACAGUGGCGUGACGUGUGCUUUUGCUUCAAAGAGGAACGACAACGUGUCUCGUUGUUUUGCAGCUGUUAGAAAGAUGGAGGCAGUAAUUGCAUAAUGUUAAAUGAUGCAUUGCAAAUUAUUUUGAACUGCUUUGCAAAGACAUUGAAAUAAAGGGAAAAAAUACAUUCCCCCUUCUGAAAAUGGAGAGAGAGGAUACAGUCCAGACUAACUGCUUCAAAAACUCACUGAUUUCAAUGGAAGCCUGCACUUAGCACUACUUUUCGGAUCAAUGGGAAAUAACAGUGCUUAAGCUUGAAUGGUUCAUGCCCUGAGUUGUCUAAUAAUUACAAACUAACAACCAUAUACAAAGCAGCCAAACAGGAGUUAAGUGGACAUGUUGUGUGCAUGCUUUGUGGCUUGCACAAGUGACGCUAACACGCCGUGCGGCAUGCAUGAGUGAGAUGAGCACGUCAAAUGAUGUGCAUCCACGACAUGCACACAGUUGCUGCAGAAUUUUGAGGGGGCCUUGCCCCUUCCUUGAAUUUUUUUGGGGACCCUUGCCCCCCUAGAUGGCCCUCCCUGCCCCAGGGAGUCCACAUAACUCACCCAGGGGGUCCCUGGCACCACUCACAUAACAAAAGCUAUCAUAGAGUUAUCAAAAAGCUUGGCUUUUGAAAAAUGGGGGCCACAGUCCUUACCUAAUUGGGAGUCACUUCCCUAAAGUAUCUGUAAUGACGCAUUGCUAGAAUAGGGGGUCAACAAUCAAUGGUUCCUAGGUCAAUUCUGCAUCCCAAGUGAGUGCAACUUUGCUGCUUCUUCAAGUUUCCAAAGCAGAGCGGUAUUGCUGAUGGUUCCCAAAUCAAUUCCAACCAGGGACCCUAAGUCCAGAGAAAAAAAGGCUGUGUUCACACUCCUGAUUACCGUACACUCUCUGCGUUUCCAGGGCUGGGUUUUUAAUCCAUGUUCACACAUUACCCAAAAGGUAUAUGUAUCCUGCACUUUGUUAUAAGGUGCUGCUGUUGGAUGCUGUUUGUCAAACCAGCUUCACACUGAUUGGAGUCCUUAAGGCACUCCUAAUUCCUUAGCGUGGGGUAAAGUUGUCCCUGCCUGUCAAUGCCGCCUGGUGUGUAAACGAUUAGCAGCCCAUACUUCUAGCCCACUUUGUGCCAUUAGGAGAGCGCAUCAGAUUGGGCUGUGUGUACAGCCAGCUCCAACUUCCAUGUCACUUAUGUGUCAUUAAAAAAAGAAAAAAAUCAAGCCCAUAAAGACACAGUCUGUGCUUUCAGCUCCUAAAUCAGAACAACCAAAAAGCUUUUAUCCACAGAUUACUUCUUUUCAGAUGGUGCCAAGAUGGAG